RNAcentral lists this ribosomal RNA (253 nucleotides) under uncultured bacterium. Its description in RNAcentral is "partial 16S ribosomal RNA". It matches the Rfam family "Bacterial small subunit ribosomal RNA", at positions 524 to 776 of the family's 1533-position model. The record is from RNAcentral.
UACGAAGGGGGCUAGCGUUGUUCGGAAUUACUGGGCGUAAAGCGCGCGUAGGCGGAUGUUUAAGUGUCUUGUGAAAUCCCACGGCUCAACCGUGGAACUGCUGGGCAUACUGGACAUCUCGAGGCACUCAGGGGCGAGCGGAACAAGUGGUGGAGCGGUGAAAUGCGCAGAUAUCAGGAGGAACACCAAUGGCGAAGGCAGCUCGCUGGGACGGUACUGACGCUGAGACGCGAAAGCGUGGGGAGCAAACAGG